UGGGGAAUAUUGCACAAUGGGGGAAACCCUGAUGCAGCGACGCAGCGUGCGGGAUGACGGCCUUCGGGUUGUAAACCGCUUUCAGCAGGGAAGAAGCGCAAGUGACGGUACCUGCAGAAGAAGUACCGGCUAACUACGUGCCAGCAGCCGCGGUAAUACGUAGGGUACGAGCGUUGUCCGGAAUUAUUGGGCGUAAAGAGCUCGUAGGUGGUUGGUCACGUCUGCUGUGGAAACGCAACGCUUAACGUUGCGCGUGCAGUGGGUACGGGCUGACUAGAGUGCAGUAGGGGAGUCUGGAAUUCCUGGUGUAGCGGUGAAAUGCGCAGAUAUCAGGAGGAACACCGGUGGCGAAGGCGGGACUCUGGGCUGUAACUGACACUGAGGAGCGAAAGCAUGGGGAGCGAACAGGAUUAGAUACCCUGGUAGUCCAUGCCGUAAACGUUGGGCACUAGGUGU
RNAcentral lists this ribosomal RNA (456 nucleotides) under uncultured bacterium. RNAcentral's name for it is "bacterial SSU rRNA". It matches the Rfam family "Bacterial small subunit ribosomal RNA", at positions 355 to 823 of the family's 1533-position model. The record is from RNAcentral.